GAUUGAACGCUGGCGGCAGGCCUAACACAUGCAAGUCGAGCGGUAGCACAGAGAGCUUGCUCUCGGGUGACGAGCGGCGGACGGGUGAGUAAUGUCUGGGAAACUGCCUGAUGGAGGGGGAUAACUACUGGAAACGGUAGCUAAUACCGCAUAAUGUCGCAAGACCAAAGUGGGGGACCUUCGGGCCUCAUGCCAUCAGAUGUGCCCAGAUGGGAUUAGCUAGUAGGUGGGGUAACGGCUCACCUAGGCGACGAUCCCUAGCUGGUCUGAGAGGAUGACCAGCCACACUGGAACUGAGACACGGUCCAGACUCCUACGGGAGGCAGCAGUGGGGAAUAUUGCACAAUGGGCGCAAGCCUGAUGCAGCCAUGCCGCGUGUGUGAAGAAGGCCUUCGGGUUGUAAAGCACUUUCAGCGGGGAGGAAGGCGGUGAGGUUAAUAACCUCAUCGAUUGACGUUACCCGCAGAAGAAGCACCGGCUAACUCCGUGCCAGCAGCCGCGGUAAUACGGAGGGUGCAAGCGUUAAUCGGAAUUACUGGGCGUAAAGCGCACGCAGGCGGUCUGUCAAGUCGGAUGUGAAAUCCCCGGGCUCAACCUGGGAACUGCAUUCGAAACUGGCAGGCUAGAGUCUUGUAGAGGGGGGUAGAAUUCCAGGUGUAGCGGUGAAAUGCGUAGAGAUCUGGAGGAAUACCGGUGGCGAAGGCGGCCCCCUGGACAAAGACUGACGCUCAGGUGCGAAAGCGUGGGGAGCAAACAGGAUUAGAUACCCUGGUAGUCCACGCCGUAAACGAUGUCGAUUUGGAGGUUGUGCCCUUGAGGCGUGGCUUCCGGAGCUAACGCGUUAAAUCGACCGCCUGGGGAGUACGGCCGCAAGGUUAAAACUCAAAUGAAUUGACGGGGGCCCGCACAAGCGGUGGAGCAUGUGGUUUAAUUCGAUGCAACGCGAAGAACCUUACCUGGUCUUGACAUCCACAGAACUUUCCAGAGAUGGAUUGGUGCCUUCGGGAACUGUGAGACAGGUGCUGCAUGGCUGUCGUCAGCUCGUGUUGUGAAAUGUUGGGUUAAGUCCCGCAACGAGCGCAACCCUUAUCCUUUGUUGCCAGCGGUCCGGCCGGGAACUCAAAGGAGACUGCCAGUGAUAAACUGGAGGAAGGUGGGGAUGACGUCAAGUCAUCAUGGCCCUUACGACCAGGGCUACACACGUGCUACAAUGGCAUAUACAAAGAGAAGCGACCUCGCGAGAGCAAGCGGACCUCAUAAAGUAUGUCGUAGUCCGGAUUGGAGUCUGCAACUCGACUCCAUGAAGUCGGAAUCGCUAGUAAUCGUAGAUCAGAAUGCUACGGUGAAUACGUUCCCGGGCCUUGUACACACCGCCCGUCACACCAUGGGAGUGGGUUGCAAAAGAAGUAGGUAGCUUAACCUUCGGGAGGGCGCUUACCACUUUGUGAUUCAUGACUGGGGUGAAGUCGUAACAAGG
This 1477-nucleotide ribosomal RNA is filed under the name uncultured bacterium. RNAcentral's name for it is "bacterial SSU rRNA". It matches the Rfam family "Bacterial small subunit ribosomal RNA". The record is from RNAcentral.